UUUCAAUGUUUCAGCUUAUUUCUCCAUGUAAGAACAAGCUCAGAGAAGACUUCAUUAGAGUGGAAGAUUUUUGGAAUCAUAUGCAAAAACUUAGACAAGGACCCAGCGUUCUCAUGGCCUUUUACCAAGGGAAGAUUUGGGACAUUUGUAUUCUGCCUAUCACCAAGCACUAGUCAAAAGUGGGGAACAUCUGUGUUUGUUUUUUCUUGCCAAUCUUCAGUCUAACUGCAGUAGUUAAGGAGGAAAAUCUUCUGAAAUUGCAAGUCUAACUCUCUGUCUUCAGAGAAUUUUACCUUCCAUCCCCCAUAAAUCAAUUUAUAGUGACAUGUCUUGCAGAUGGUCUGUCAGCAACCAAAUAUUUAGUACAGCUGUCCAUAUAACAGAAAUUCAGGGUCCAGGAUAACAUGUCCAGUUUUGUUUGCUAGACACUCAGAUGAUGGAACCACUGGUUUGAUGUAUGGUUGCAUAAUUUUAUGGAAAGAAAGAGAUCAGUGCCAUUGCACUCAGACAAAAUAGCUCUGUCAUUUCAAUUUUAAGGCUACAGCCAGGUACACAGUGGUGUUCCAUUUGCCUGUUUUUUAGGGAUUAACACUGUGUAUUUACCUUCUGAAAUGAUUAACAUAAUAGUGAAGAGGGGACUCCCUUGCAAAUUGUGUUGUCAACAAAGAUAAUAUAAACUGUGACACAAGCUAAAAGGAAGAAUACUUGCCACGUAAGGGAGAAAAGGCAAAACAAAGUUAACUGGUAUUGAUUGUUUUGUCACAGACAGGUGUUAAACAUACACAGCAGACAAUUACAGUACAAUUAGAAUUAUAGAGCUGACUUCUAACCUCAAUUAAAGGGAAACUUGGUGAGGGCAAUGUGACAAGGAAGAAAACUGUUCUCUCAUUUUAUCUUGUGAAGUGUUUCUUUCUCUGCUUUUGUGGACUGUUUAGUUAGUUUGUCUUUGGUAGAUUUGUUAAUUCUUUCUUCUUUCCAGUAAGAAAUUGCAUGAUUAAAAAGGAGAAAAAAGGUAGACUCUGAAAACUGUGAGGAAAUCUCAGAAUCUCAAUUGCUAUUAAUGGUUGCAGGUCUUCUAACUUCAAUGUGCCUCCUCAGGAACCCUCCACUAAUCUCUCUUUCCUAAUCUUUCAGAGCCAAAGUGACUUCCCAUCAUCACUGGAAGAACUAGAAAGGACCUGAAUGUGGACACCUGUGCUUCUUAAAACCACUCUUUGGCUCCUUCCCAAAUGAGCUUUGAAGAUGGAAAUCCAUCCUUCUAAUGAAGUUCAUUGCCUGAAAAUCCACUGUUCAGGAGCAGAUUGCUAUGCCAGGAAAGAGCCAUGUUGGUGUUUCAGAAGGAAAUCUCAAAGGCUUUCUGGGUCUGCCAAUGAAAAAGAGAAAAUACUCCAGGAUGUUCUUUCUUCUCCAGUCAUGAAGCCAACCUUCUCCUUUUCAGAACACCACUGUCGUGGCCUCUCUUUGUUUGCCCUGGACAUCACAACUGGCUUUCCACGGCAAAGGGUCUUGCAUCACCAGUCCAUUGACCAGUGAAAGACCAUAUUGGCUGCCUGUACUGAGCUUGAAGAUCCACACAGGGGCAUGCCUUGGUCCACUGAAGAUAUUCUGAUGCCACCCGCAGGAGGACGCAGGGCAUCCUGUGUUUCUUGCUGUUUUCUAGAGAGCCGAGCUAAACAUGAAGCAUCCUGGUGUGCAAGAGGCUGUUAGCAGGAAGCAGCUCCAGUGAGCUGUCACAGCUCCCAGCCAUGACACAGCAUGCAGAAUCUAGGAGUCAAGCAGCCUUGCCCAGCAGUUAUUCUGGGACAGCAAACCUGGCUUUGCAUUAAUACACAGUUUUUUCCUGGAGGCUUCACCCAUGCAUUUCUGUGCAAUAUGAUUCUGCUGUUAUUAAGCUAUAAGACUUGUGAGAUCCAAGUAAAACUAAGGGAAAUCUUGACUUCCUGGAGAACUUCAUUAGCUUAGUGGUUAUGCUAUUAUGUACUGGGUGCAUAAGGGAAAAAAAAUCACAGCUUUACAAAAACAGUAACAGAGAAGAGGUAAGCAGAAAAGACAAGGGAAAUUAUACUG
Long non-coding RNA from Pseudopipra pipra, 2067 nucleotides. RefSeq lists it as uncharacterized. The record is from RefSeq and is a predicted model, not a curated record. NCBI's taxonomy places the organism in Eukaryota, Metazoa, Chordata, Aves, Passeriformes, Pipridae. The transcript is spliced from 6 exons.